Molecule: long non-coding RNA, 558 nt
Organism: Alligator mississippiensis (American alligator)
Lineage: Eukaryota; Metazoa; Chordata; Crocodylia; Alligatoridae
Exons: 3
Source: RefSeq, a predicted model, not a curated record
UUGGGUGCCCUGCUCCUAAAGAGGGGAAAGAGCCCUAGCAGUGAGUAAGGAGCCCAGCUGGUGGUCACGAGGGCAACUAGAGUAAUUAAUGACCCCACCUGCCAACAGUCAGCUGACUGAAGGGGGCAGGGCCUAGCACAUAUAAACCCCAUGGCUGAAGCCAAGUGGGCAGGUCCCUGCAAGCAGCCAGGAGGGAAGGAACUCUCCCUGAGCAAGCUGCGAGGAGAGCCCUGACUGCAGGAGACCCACAAUGUUCUGGGCAUUGUACACAAAGACAGGCACAAUUAUUACAGAUCUUGCAAUAUAAAAACAUGGAGAAACAGCAGGGAAAUUAGAUGCCUAUUUUCUGUAGGAGUCAUGGUAAAACUGAAUCUUCAGGAAGGACUUGAAUGCCAAGAUGAUGGUGAUCUUUGCUAAAAAGGCCCUAAAGUCUGGGAGAGAAGCUGGUAAGGAUGCAUGAAGAUUGCUGUGAAUAACAACCCAGGAGCAUCAAUAAUACUUACAUUAAGACAGUUUUCCCAAGUCAUUUUGUUACAAUAAAAUGAUGUGAAAAAAUGA